ACUGCAUAGUUCGAAAUCGUGAAAGCGUCGUGCUUCGGCUGUUACACUUAUGGAUCGGACCCGCGUCGCAUUAGCUAGUUGGUGAGGUAACGGCUCACCAAGGCAACGAUGCGUAAGCCGACCUGAAGAGGGUGAUCGGCCACACUGGGACUGAGACACGGCCCAGACUCCUAGCGGGAGGCAGCAGUAGGGAAUCUUCCGCAAUGGACGAAAGUCUGACGGAGCAACGCCGCGUGAGUGAUGAAGGCUUUCGGGUCGUAAAACUCUGUUGUUAGGGAAGAACAAGUGCUAGUUGAAUAAUGCUGGCACCUUGACGGUACCUAACCAGAAAGCCACGGCUAACUACGUGCCAGCAGCCGCGGUAAUACGUAGGUGGCAAGCGUUAUCCGGAAUUAUUGGGCGUAAAGCGCGCGCAGGUGGUUUCUUAAGUCUGAUGUGAAAGCCCACGGCUCAACCGUGGAGGGUCAUUGGAAACUGGGAGACUUGAGUGCAGAAGAGGAAAGUGGAAUUCCAUGUGUAGCGGUGAAAUGCGUAGAGAUAUGGAGGAACACCAGUGGCGAAGGCGACUUUCUGGUCUGUAACUGACACUGAGGCGCGAAAGCGUGGGGAGCAAACAGGAUUAGAUACCCUGGUAGUCCACGCCGUAAACGAUGAGUGCUAAGUGUUAGAGGGUUUCCGCCCUUUAGUGCUGAAGUUAACGCAUUAAGCACUCCGCCUGGGGAGUACGGCCGCAAGGCUGAAACUCAAAGGAAUUGACGGGGGCCCGCACAAGCGGUGGAGCAUGUGUUUUAAUUCGAAGCAACGCGAAGAACCUUACCAGGUCUUGACAUCCUCUGAAAACUCUAGAGAUAGAGCUUCUCUUUCGGGAGCAGAGUGACAGGUGGUUGCAUGGUUGUUCGUCUGCUCGUGUCAUGAGAUGUUGGGUUUAGUACCGCAACCAGCGCAACCCUUGAUCCUUAUUUGCCUUCAUUAAGUUUGUGCACUCUAGGGUGACUGCCGGUGACCGACCCGAGUAGAAAGUGGGGGAUUGACGUUCGAUUCAUCAUGCCCCUUAUGGACCUGGCCUUACACACGUGCUUACAUUGAACGGUUCAUAAGAGCUGCAAGACCUAGCGGUUGAAACGUAAUUGCUUAUAGAAACAGCUUCUUUCUACUCUACGAUAUUGUACUUGGAGUCU
This 1178-nucleotide ribosomal RNA is filed under the name Bacillus sp. (in: firmicutes). RNAcentral's name for it is "bacterial SSU rRNA". It matches the Rfam family "Bacterial small subunit ribosomal RNA", at positions 168 to 1306 of the family's 1533-position model. Lineage: Bacteria; Bacillati; Bacillota; Bacilli; Caryophanales; Bacillaceae. The record is from RNAcentral.